RNAcentral lists this ribosomal RNA (114 nucleotides) under Bomis larvata. RNAcentral's name for it is "partial 16S ribosomal RNA". The record is from RNAcentral. Lineage: Eukaryota; Metazoa; Arthropoda; Arachnida; Araneae; Thomisidae.
AGUCUGUUCGACUUUUAAAUAAUUACAUGAAUUGAGUUCAGACCGGUGUAAGCCAGGUCGGUUUCUAUCUUUUAAUUAAUUUUUACAGUACGAAAGGACCUAAGAAUUAAAUAU